This 208-nucleotide ribosomal RNA is filed under the name uncultured Latescibacterota bacterium. Its description in RNAcentral is "uncultured Latescibacteria bacterium partial 16S ribosomal RNA". It matches the Rfam family "Bacterial small subunit ribosomal RNA", at positions 568 to 774 of the family's 1533-position model. The record is from RNAcentral. Lineage: Bacteria; Pseudomonadati; Candidatus Latescibacterota.
CGUGUAGGCGGUCAGGUAAGUGGAAUGUGAAAUGCCCCGGCUCACCCGGGGACCGGCAUCCCAAACUGCCUGGCUUGAGUAUGGGAGAGGAUGGAGGAAUUCCUGGUGUAGCGGUGAAAUGCGUACGAUAUCAGGAGGAACACCGGUGGCGAAGGCGUCCAUCUGGCCCAAUACUGACGCUGAGGCGCGAAAGCUAGGGGAGCAAACG